This 301-nucleotide signal recognition particle RNA is filed under the name Aotus nancymaae (Ma's night monkey). RNAcentral describes it as "Metazoan signal recognition particle RNA (ENSANAG00000008853.1)". It matches the Rfam family "Metazoan signal recognition particle RNA". Rfam says of the family: The signal recognition particle (SRP) is a universally conserved ribonucleoprotein. It is involved in the co-translational targeting of proteins to membranes. Lineage: Eukaryota; Metazoa; Chordata; Mammalia; Primates; Aotidae. The record is from RNAcentral.
GCCAGGCACAGUUGUGCGUGCCUGUAGUCCCAGCUAUUCGGGUGGUUGAGGCUUGAUGAUCGCUGGAGUCCAAGAGUUCUGGGCUGUAAUAUGCUAUGCCGAUCAGGUGUCUGCACUAAGUUUGGCAACAAUAUGGUGACCUCCUGGGAGUGGGAGACCACUAGGUUGCCUAAGGAGGGGUGAACUGGCCAAGGUCAGAAACAGAGCAGGUCAAAACUCCCGUGCUGAUCAGUAGUGGGACCACGCCUGUCAAUAGCCACUGUACUCCAGCCUGGGCAAAACAUAGCGAGACCCCAACUCA